AUAUUGUAACAAACCUAGGGUUACUAGAAAUUUCUGUUUAACCAUCAUUCAGGAGGAGUGGAAUCGACGGCAGUGUGAAGAAACAGAUUUGUAAUAAACAUAACAAUGAUAUUUAUUUCAACAGUAUUUUGACUUCUUCUUUCAAUAUAAUAAACAUCAAAUACACAUUCAUCAUUCAACAGAUAAAGCAAUAAAUCGGGUGGUCAAUAUAAAAGGUAGUUGACGGUUCAAGAGAUUGAUUCAGAAUGACAUGUCUGUCUACAGGCUCCUAUUUAUGUCUUUUGGCACUUACUAUGACGUUAGAGUAAACAUCUAAUCGUCCAAUCAAAAGCAACGUUUCUUACGUCUUUUGGCUUGAAACGUUCAAGAAGACAAUCAGAUUUCGUUAUUUCUAAAUAAAUACUCAUUAUUGAGUUGUCCUCAUUUUGUCCUUCUUGUCCGAAUUUUAUUUAAAAGCGAAUAAAACCAAAAGGACAUUUCUACAUAAUGCUAUUUUUAAACGGACAGUAAAUUCCUUUCUCGAUACGGCGUAUGAACUUGGGUGUAAUUUACAUAACCUUACGCAUUAGAUAUAAUGCUUAAAUGAGAUCAAUGAAAACCCUGUUCUAUCAUAAAUAAAGACAAUGUUAAUGAAAAGGGAGGCACAAACAUAAUAAAUACGCAAUUUAUCUGCAUUGAUAAAGUGUUAACUUAAACAAAUAAUAAUAUGAGAUCGCAAAGUGAAAGUACAGAACGGUGUCAUGGCAGAUGUAAACAAGUUGAAUCUCACGACGAUAUUUGUCAAAAUAAAUCACUAUAUGACGG
This 804-nucleotide long non-coding RNA is filed under the name Mytilus galloprovincialis (Mediterranean mussel). Lineage: Eukaryota; Metazoa; Mollusca; Bivalvia; Mytilida; Mytilidae. The record is from RNAcentral.